Molecule: unclassified non-coding RNA, 274 nt
Filed under: Helotiales sp.
Lineage: Eukaryota; Fungi; Ascomycota; Leotiomycetes; Helotiales
Description: partial contains 5.8S ribosomal RNA, internal transcribed spacer 2, and large subunit ribosomal RNA
Rfam family: 5.8S ribosomal RNA (bases 1-71)
Source: RNAcentral
GUGAGUCAUCGAAUCUUUGAACGCACAUUGCACCCUAUGGCAUUCCGUAGGGUAUGCCUGUUCGAGCGUCAUUACAACCUUCAAGCUCCGCUUGGUAUUGGGCGUCACAUUAAAAGUGCGCUUUAAAAUUAGUGGUGGUGCCAUUUGGGUUCCAGCGUAGUAAUUCUCUCGCUGCGGAUGCCUAGGUGUGCCCUUCCAGCAAGUAUUUUUCAAAGGUUGACCUCGAAUCAGGUAGGACUACCCGCUGAACUUAAGCAUAUCAAUAAGCGGAGGA